CUACGGGCGGCAGCAGUCGCGAAUUUUUUGCAAUGCACGAAAGUGUGACAAAGCGAGCCGAAGUGCUUUUCUUAGAAAAGCUUUUUCUUGCUUUAAAAAGGCAGGAGAAUAAGGACUGGGAAAGACUGGUGCCAGCCGCCGCGGUAAUACCAGCAGUCCAAGUUGUAUCCAUUAUUAUUGGGUCUAAAACAUCCGUAGCUUGCCUAAAAAGUUUUUUGUGAAAUCUUAUGUCUCAAGCAUAAGGCGGGCAAAAAAUACUAUUAGGCUAGAGACCGGGAGGUGUAAGGAGUACACUCAAGGUAGUGGUUAAAUAUGUUAAUCUUGAGCGGACUAACAAUUAGCGAAGGCACCUUACAAGAACGGAUCUGACAGUGAGGGAUGAAGGCCAGGGGCGCAAAACGGAUUAGAUACCCUGGUAGUC
RNAcentral lists this ribosomal RNA (421 nucleotides) under uncultured archaeon. RNAcentral describes it as "partial 16S ribosomal RNA". It matches the Rfam family "Archaeal small subunit ribosomal RNA", at positions 323 to 746 of the family's 1478-position model. The record is from RNAcentral.